Molecule: unclassified non-coding RNA, 384 nt
Filed under: soil metagenome
Description: partial contains 5.8S ribosomal RNA, internal transcribed spacer 2, and large subunit ribosomal RNA
Rfam family: 5.8S ribosomal RNA (bases 1-120)
Source: RNAcentral
GAUGAAGAACGUAGCGAAACGCGAUAGGUAAUGUGAAUUGCAGAAUUCCGUGAAUCAUCGAAUCUUUGAACGCACAUUGCGCCUGCUGGUAUUCCGGUAGGCAUGUCUGUUUGAGCGUCAGCAAAAUACUCUCAGUACGUAUUUAUUUACGUUCCGGUUAUGGGUUGGGAGUCAUUGGCAUUAGCCAACUCUUACCUUAAACUUGCUGCAUGACCGCAAGCUGCCUUUGGCUAGGUUUAUGGAGUGGUGUUUGCAUAUCUUCCGUAUCAUGUCAGGUCUAGCUUUCGCGGCGUUAAACCUUACGUUGCUUCCGUAGUAACUGAUGUUUGACCUCAAAUCAGAUAAGGAUACCCGCUGAACUUAAGCAUAUCAAUAAGCGGAGGA